Molecule: ribosomal RNA, 458 nt
Filed under: uncultured bacterium
Lineage: Bacteria
Description: bacterial SSU rRNA
Rfam family: Bacterial small subunit ribosomal RNA
Source: RNAcentral
AGAGUUUGAUCCUGGCUCAGAACGAACGCUGGCGGCGUGCUUAACACAUGCAAGUCGAACGCGAAAGUUUUCUUCGGAAAGCGAGUAGAGUGGCGCACGGGUGAGUAACGCGUAAAUAAUCUACCCUUGCAUCUGGGAUAACCCACCGAAAGGUGUGCUAAUACCGGAUACGUUCUUUUAACCGCGAGGUUUUAAGAAGAAAGGUGGCCUCUGAUAUAAGCUACUGUGCAGGGAGGAGUUUGCGUACCAUUAGCUAGUUGGUAGGGUAACGGCCUACCAAGGCAACGAUGGUUAGCGGGUCUGAGAGGAUGAUCCGCCACACUGGAACUGGAACACGGACCAGACUCCUACGGGAGGCAGCAGUGAGGAAUAUUGCGCAAUGGGGGCAACCCUGACGCAGCGACGCCGCGUGGAUGACGAAGGCCUUCGGGUCGUAAAAUCCUGUCAGAUGGAAAGAA